This is a non-coding RNA of Pimephales promelas (fathead minnow), 6030 nucleotides long. The record is from RefSeq and is a predicted model, not a curated record. Lineage: Eukaryota; Metazoa; Chordata; Actinopteri; Cypriniformes; Leuciscidae.
UUGGUAACGGCCUACAGAACCGUACUGCGAGAUAAAGAGAAAACUCAGGCCAUCCUCAGCCAGAGUCAAGAUAAAGCCCUGAGGAGAAUAGGAGAGCUCAGGGAGGAGCUCCAGAUGGACCAGCAGACCAAGAAACACCUGCAGGAGGAGUUUGAUGCUGCCCUCGAGGAGAAGGACCAGAUGAUCACUGUGCUUCAGACUCAGGUGUCUCUCUUGAAGAAACGACUACAGGCGCCUGGAGGUCUGGUAUCGUCAGAGCUUGAGACCUCUCAGUCCACGGAGGAUGCGGUUGACGCGACCUCUGACCCUCAGAGCCCCUUGAAAGAUGCAGAGGUCAGCGGAGAGCCGGGCGGCACGGUGGACCUCGAGUUGCUUCAGAAGCGAAUCAAAAGGCAAGAGAGUCUCCUGCAGAGAUGCAAAGAGAUGAUUCGCUCCAGUAAAGAGCGCUCCGCUCAGCUGGGCAGCGAGAACGAGGUUUUACAGCAGCAGCUGCAGGAGAGGCUGCAAGAGCUUGAGAAAAUGAAGGAACUCCACACUACAGAGAAGACGAAGCUGAUCACACAACUGGGAGACGCCAAGAACCUCAUCGAGCAGCUGGAGCAGGACAAGGGAAUGGUCAUUGCUGAGACGAAGCGUCAGAUGCAUGAGACUUUAGAGAUGAAGGAAGAUGAGAUCGCUCAGCUGCGCUCCAGACUCCAGCAGACCCUCGCACAGAAAGACGAGCUGCAAGAACAGAAAGAGAAAUCCGAGAAAGCUGCAUUUGAGGAGCUGGAGAGAGCCCUGGGUGUGUCCCAGCGGGCGGAGGAGGCACGCCGUCAGCUACAGGUGAGCAUGGAGGAGCAGGUGAAGCAGGUGGAGAAGGCCAGCGAGGAAGAGAGGAGAAGCCUGCAACAGGAGCUGACCAGGGUCAAACAAGAAGUGGUCAACAUUAUGAAGAAGUCCACCGAGGACAGGAUAGCAGAAUUGGAGCAGUUACACUCAGAGGCUAUGGCUAGCAAAGAACAGGAACUGAGUGCCCUGAUCAAACAGGCGGUGGAGCAGUGUCGUGAGGAGAUGUUGCAGUCGGCAAAGGAAAGAGAACAGCAGGAAUCUCUCGCUCUGGAGGAAGCAGAGCUGCAGAAAUCUGCAAUUCAGUCUGAGGGGGAGAACAAAGCCAAGGAACUACAGCUAGAGUUGGAGUCUGCCAGAACGAGAAUUCAAGAACUUGAGAGUUGUCUGAGUAGCCCAGAGAAGGAUUACGCCAAGUCGGAUGAUCUCUCUGCGCAAGUGGAAGAGCAGAGAAAGAAACAUGAGGCUGAAAUAGCUGCUUUGGAAGAGGCGCAUAAGCAAGAACUGGAAAGGACAAAGACAGAGCUAAUAGCAGACCUCAACCAGCAGCAUGAUGUUGUUAUGAAAGAGCUCAUGCAAAAACACAAGGUAGAGAUUGAAUCUAUUCUGAAAGACAAGGAGGAACAGUUCCAUUCUCAUGUGGAAGACAUGAACAAAAAGAUGCUUGAUAAGCUGAGUGACAAACAGACAGAGAUUGAGACCCUGUCUUCUGAUCUCAAUGAACUACUGAAUAUUAGGCAACAGUUAGAAGAGAGGCUGUCCUCUGUGGAGGCCACCAGUGAAACCACAAGACAAGAGUUUGAGGAAAGACUUAAGGAAGAACAAACAAAAUAUCAGGUGGAGAUCGAAGCUGCGAUACAGAACCAACAGUCAUUUGCAAUGGUGGAGAAAAUGCUGAAAGAACAGAUAAAUCAGCUGAAGACUGUGUUGGAGGAGAAGGAAAAGGCACUAGAGGAACAUGUGCUCAGGGAAAGGACUUUGCACGAAAAUGGAAAUGCUCAGUUGGAGGAACUUCAUCUCAGGGCACAGUCGAAUAAAGACGCCCUUGAGGAAUCAAGAUCUCAGAUUAGCACACUUACAGAAGAACUCCAGCAAACCAAGAAUCAAGUGAAAGAUCUUGAGCAAACCCUUGAGGCAGUGCGUAAGGAUUGUCAGGAGAAAGGAGUGUGUCUUGAACAGAAGACAAAUGAACUUCAGGAACUAGUGCAGAAGAUGGAGCAAGUCAAGACGGACCUAUCUGAAAAAGAGAAUUUGCAUUCUGCAACCUCCAAAACAAUGCAAGAUGAGCAAAACCGCUUGAGGAAGCAGCUGGAUGACCAGAAGAGUUCUCACGAGAAGAAACUUGAGAACAUCAGGAAAGACAUGGAUUGCAAGCUGAAAUCCCAGGAAAACAAAAUGGAGAAAUUCAAGCAGAAAGUCAAAGAAGCACAGGACAAGUUGAAGAAGAAGCUUCAGGAUCAAGAGGAGAAUGCCAAAGCGGAGUUAUCUAAGAUGGUUCAAGAGUUAGAACGGAAAGACCAGCAACUGAAGGAGAAGAUCCUUGAGAUAGCUCAAGCAAGCUCUGAGGGCCUCAGCACAAACAUGUCUGAUUUGGAGGCCAAUCACAAGGAGCACUUAGACAAGCUUAAGGUGACCCAUAAACAGGAACAGGAAGACCUUGUUCGAGAUUGGCAGGAGAAACUCAACCAACUUGAGGAGGAGAUGCAAGAAAAACAUGCCCAAUCUUUGCAAGAUAAAGUCCAAGAGUUGGAGGAGAUCUCGCAGCUGCUUUCAGCCAGCAGGGAAGAAAAGGAACAGAUCAUGAAAGACAUCCAGAACCUCAGGGAGGAGCUUGCCAUGAGGGAAACCACUGUGCAGAAACUACAGACAGAGCUCAGGGAAGCAGCAAGCAAGCUGGAAAGUUUGUCUGAAGGGGAAGGUAUACUUAAAAGACAAGUCGAAACCAUGGAGAAGAAUCUAAACCAGGCCUUGAAUGAACGCAACCUUCUACAAGACGAACUGAGAAAGGCUGAGGAAACUAGUAAAGAGAAAUUGCAGGGCAUAUCUGAAGAGUUGAUAAACACUCGGCAAAAAUGUAGUUUGCUUGAAACAUCCAAGUGUAAAGAGGUUGAAGAUCUCCAGGGGACACUAGCAGAAAAAAUGGCUGAACUUAAAAAUAAAGAAAAUGAAUUCCAGACGCAGUUGUUUACCAUCACAAAGGAGUUUGAACAGUGUUUUCAGAAAGCACAGGAUAAGUUAGAUGGUUUCUCUGUUGAGCUGUGUAAGACAGUUGAGGAACGAGUUAGAGAUUUACAAAACCGGGUUACAGAUAAUCAGAAUAAGGUUACAUAUCUAAAAAACAUUAUCAUGACGAAGGACAACAGAAUCAGCACUUUAGAGAUCGAGAACCGUAACCUAAAGAGCUCCCUUGAUGAGGUAACUCUUGAGUUUAGUGCAAGUUCAGAGACUCUGAAAGCCUUAAAAACCGAAAUGGAGUCUCUGCAAAACCAUGCAGAGAAUCGCUCCCAAGUACUUUCUGAGAAAGACCUUAACAUUGAGCAGCUUCGCAAGGAGAACAAAAACAUAUCAGAAAAUCUCAACGCAAAUGUUUUGCAAAUCAGCAAUCUAGAAUCAGUCAUAAAUGACUUGAAGACCCAGUUAUCGAGUAGCGUAACUGAAAAAGAGGAAGCCAUAUCUCUGCUGAAUCAGCAGCACAGUGAGGACAAGGAGAGGGUGGGGGAGAAGGUGGAAAGACUAGAUAAAGAAAAUACCUCGCUUCGAGAGCAGGUAGACUCACUCAGGAAUAAGUUCUCUGAGCAGAAAAAGAAGUUCAGUCAGAGUCACAGCACUGUUAAAUCUCUUCAAGAAAAAGUUGCAGAAAUGGAGAGACAGAUUUCGGAGAAGGACGAACAACUUCAGAUGCUCUCCGCCAGCGUUGACAAUCACUCUAUUAGUAAGUCCGAAAUGGACCAGGCACUAAGUGAGAAAGAACAGAGGGUUCAUGCCUUGACCUCAGAGCUGGAAAGCUGCUCAAAGAAAGUUUGUGAUCUGGAGGAGCAGCUGGAAUUGCGGACAAAAGAGCGGGAACAACUUGCAGCUGAUUUGCAGCAGCAACUUAACAUUAGGGAGAGCCAAAAGGUGGAGUUGAUGAAACAGGUGCAGGACGCUCAGGACCAAAGCUCUCAAAGUGGUGCCCUGAUACAGAAAACUGAGGAAAGUCUUCAGUCUUUACAGAAAGAAGUCGAAAGAGCCAAGCAGGAACUUGAAACCCAGAAGAACGACUUUGAGAGGGAGAAGGCAGAGAUUCUGAGGGCAAAAGAAGAGGCUGUCAAUGCAGCUCAGGAAAAGGCGUACUCUGAGACGGCUGGUAAAGUAGCCGAGUUGAAGAAGAAGGCAGAGCAGAAGAUUGGCAUGAUCCGUAAACAGCUGAUUUCACAAAUUGAGGAAAAGGAGCAGGCUAUCAAAGACAUGCAGAUGCAGUUGGAAGGCAUCAAGCAAACCCAGACUGAAAAAGAAGAACGUAUAAAGUCUCUAGAGGAAAUCGAGAAGACAAUGGAGGAGUCCACCGCAAAAUUAAAGGAAGAGCAUGCAAAACAUCUACAAGAAUUGCAGCAGAAAGAAGACGAGGAAAGACAGUCCUCUCUGCAAAACUUAAAAGAUAUGUAUGAAGAGAAGCUUGCUGUUAUUCUUAAAGAUGCGUCUGCAAAAGAGGAGCAAUCUGCUUUUGCUGCAAGAGAAACUUCGUCCAGACUUGAGGAGCUUGAGACCAAACUUGCAGAGUCUAAUGAACAGAUUACAAACUACCAAGCUGAGGUAAGUCGCCUUAAAGCAGACCUGCUUGAACAGACAGUUCGAGUGCAAGAGCUCCAACAGACAUGCCUGGAUCUUCAAGAACAGAUUAAGGAGAAACUGACUGAUCAAGUAGAGAAUGAACAGGUUUCUGAAGUGCAAAUGACCUCUAGUAGAUUAGGAAUGGAGCCUGUAUCCAUGGAAAGCAAGGACACUUUCAGGGACCAAGACGAUUGGACGAGUCAAAAGGACUUGUUGGUGAAGGAAUACGAGGAGAAGCUCCGAGAUUUACAGCAGAGGCUCGAAGAGAAAGAAAAUCAGCUAAAAGCACAACAGAGUUUGCCUCAAGGAAACGGGGAGACUGAUAGUGAGUGCCUAAUCAACAAUACAGACACCUCAGAGAAUGAUCUUCAGAUAAAACUGGUAGAGGCUGAGAACGAGAAGCAGAAGCUCCACAAAGAUUACACCAGACUACAAAAAGACCUUCGCUCGCUACGGAAAGAGCAUGAGAAGGAGCUGGAUUUCCUGAAAAAGGAGAUGGCUGAGGAAAACGAGAAGAAGCUCAAACUUGAAUUGGAAGACAUAGAAAUGAAACACAACUCUUCUCUUAAGCAGUUAAUGAGGGAGUUUAACACCCAAAUGGCCCUGAAGGAAAAGGAACUGGAAGGUUCUGUGAAGGAGACCAUUGAGAAAGCUCAAGGUGUUGAAUCUGAGCUUAUGAUUAGCCAUCGAGAUGAAGUCAGUCAACUUCAGAAAAUGAUCGCUCAGAAGGAAGAAGAGCUAAACAAAACGGUUCAGCGUUACGAGCAGGUCCUUCAGAGUCGUGAGGUGGAGAUGGGCGACCGUGUUUGGGAGGUGCAGAAGGAGUUAGAGGAUCUUCAACAGAGGAGUGUCAGCGGCCCACAGGGUCUUGAUGAGUUACAGGUUCAGCUUGCAGAAAAGACAACCCUGUUGAGCGAAGCCAGGCUAAAAGAGCAGGAAUACCAUGACAGGAUUCAUGCUCUGGAAGACAAAAUAAGACGCUCCCAUAAAAACACAGUGGUGACUCACCUGGGAAGCACAUAUCGAGAUAUGACACACAACAGCACAGACCCCUUCUCCGAGCCCACCGAAUACGAGUACCUCAAGAAGGUCAUGUUUGAGUACAUGAUGGGAAGAGAGACAAAGACGAUGGCCAAAGUUAUAACAUCCAUGCUGAAGUUUCCUCCGGACCAGGCGCAGAAGGUUCUGGAGCGGGAGGAUUCUCGUGUGAUGCCUUGGCUCCGCUGAGGUGGAAUCACAACCGGCCUGACGACCACCGACUCUCCUCCUCCUCCUCCUGCUGCUGAGGGAUGCUACUGACGUGAACGAGCCCGGCCUGCUUACCUGUGUGUGUGUGUGUGUGUGUGUGUGUGUGAGAGAGAGAGAGAGAGAGAGAGAGAGAGAGAGCAGUGU